Xiphophorus maculatus (southern platyfish) is the source of this 530-nucleotide long non-coding RNA. RefSeq lists it as uncharacterized. The transcript has 3 exons. NCBI's taxonomy places the organism in Eukaryota, Metazoa, Chordata, Actinopteri, Cyprinodontiformes, Poeciliidae. The record is from RefSeq and is a predicted model, not a curated record.
GAACUCAGCCGAAGAAGAAGCGGGAGCGUCUGAGUAAACAGAGCCAGCGGAACAUGGCGCCUCUCAGCCGGAGGACCGUGGACAGGAUUUAUUCUGCGGUCCUGCUGGGUCUGGUGGUUCUGUCCUGGUCUUAUGUGAUCUACGCCAGCAGGAUCGCAGCUUAUUGGCUGCUGGAGAAAAGGACCGGCCUGCUGCAGGAGGACUGACGGCGCCGCUGCAGGCUGGUGCUGGGAGACGUUCUGGUUCUGGACCAGAAACUACCAGCCGCUGGACUGAACCAACAGGAUUAUUCUGGAAACCAUGGCUGCCAGUUUAUUUUGGCAGCGCCCAGUGGACCCGGAGGAGAUGUUCUGGAGAACCGCAGCCUGAGAACAGCUGAGAGUCCAGCAGGUUUCUGGAUCAGAACCGACAACGAAUCCAGGUCUGAACAGAACUCCUGAGAAACCAAGAGAUGAUUCGGUUUACCUGAGGAAAACAGAAACUUUAAAAUAAUUCAGUUUAAACUGAAACUUUAAAAUAAUUCAGUUUAA